GACGAACGCUUGCGGCGUGCUUAACACAUGCAAGUCGAACGGAAAGGCCCUGCUUUUGUGGGGUGCUCGAGUGGCGAACGGGUGAGCAACACGUGAGUAACCUGCCCUUGACUUUGGGAUAACUUCAGGAAACUGGGGCUAAUACCGGAUAGGAGCUCCUGCUGCAUGGUGGGGGUUGGAAAGUUUCGGCGGUUGGGGAUGGACUCGCGGCUUAUCAGCUUGUUGGUGGGGUAGUGGCUUACCAAGGCUUUGACGGGUAGCCGGCCUGAGAGGGUGACCGGCCACAUUGGGACUGAGAUACGGCCCAGACUCCUACGGGAGGCAGCAGUGGGGAAUAUUGCACAAUGGGCGGAAGCCUGAUGCAGCAACGCCGCGUGCGGGAUGACGGCCUUCGGGUUGUAAACCGCUUUCGCCUGUGACGAAGCGUGAGUGACGGUAAUGGGUAAAGAAGCACCGGCUAACUACGUGCCAGCAGCCGCGGUGAUACGUAGGGUGCGAGCGUUGUCCGGAUUUAUUGGGCGUAAAGGGCUCGUAGGUGGUUGAUCGCGUCGGAAGUGUAAUCUUGGGGCUUAACCCUGAGCGUGCUUUCGAUACGGGUUGACUUGAGGAAGGUAGGGGAGAAUGGAAUUCCUGGUGGAGCGGUGGAAUGCGCAGAUAUCAGGAGGAACACCAGUGGCGAAGGCGGUUCUCUGGGCCUUUCCUGACGCUGAGGAGCGAAAGCGUGGGGAGCGAACAGGCUUAGAUACCCUGGUAGUCCACGCUGUAAACGGUGGGUACUAGGUGUGGGGUCCAUUCCACGGGUUCCGUGCCGUAGCUAACGCUUUAAGUACCCCGCCUGGGGAGUACGGCCGCAAGGCUAAAACUCAAAGGAAUUGACGGGGCCCCGCACAAGCGGCGGAGCAUGCGGAUUAAUUCGAUGCAACGCGUAGAACCUUACCUGGGUUUGACAUGGAUCGGGAGUGCUCAGAGAUGGGUGUGCCUCUUUUGGGGUCGGUUCACAGGUGGUGCAUGGCUGUCGUCAGCUCGUGUCGUGAGAUGUUGGGUUAAGUCCCGCAACGAGCGCAACCCUUGUUCACUGUUGCCAGCACGUUAUGGUGGGGACUCAGUGGAGACCGCCGGGGUCAACUCGGAGGAAGGUGGGGAUGACGUCAAGUCAUCAUGCCCCUUAUGUCCAGGGCUUCACGCAUGCUACAAUGGCUGGUACAGAGAGUGGCGAGCCUGUGAGGGUGAGCGAAUCUCGGAAAGCCGGUCUCAGUUCGGAUUGGGGUCUGCAACUCGACCUCAUGAAGUCGGAGUCGCUAGUAAUCGCAGAUCAGCAACGCUGCAGUGAAUACGUUCCCGGG
This 1343-nucleotide ribosomal RNA is filed under the name uncultured bacterium. Its description in RNAcentral is "16S ribosomal RNA". It matches the Rfam family "Bacterial small subunit ribosomal RNA", at positions 28 to 1378 of the family's 1533-position model. The record is from RNAcentral.